CUGGCAAAUGAGCAGGGGAUGCCAUUUAUUCUCCUGAGAUGGCCUUCCGGUCGUCUCGGAUGGCCUCCCGGUGAGAUCUGACUUAGGAGAUACAGGAGAAAACGAUUAAGUAAGGCUGCUGCAGGACUCAAAGGACUUUCCUAUUGAAGACUUCCAGUUCCCCAAGAGAUCAUAAAGUGUCUUGACUUUGACCAGCUAGAGCAGAAAAAAUGCAGCAUCAACAGCCAGAUACUAUUGUGCACCUGCAAGUAUAUGCCUUGCGAUAGACCUGUCCAGGGUGCACGCUGACUCUCGCCCUAUGACAGCUUGGAGAGGCUUCCACCCCAAAUUCAAGAAUCUCAGAUCAACGUCUGAAAAGGAGAAAGAGUUAAUCUGCGUGUCCAAUAUUGCUUCUAAUCUAAACUGUAUAUUACAAAAUUGUCAGUUGUAUUGUGUUCUUCAGUUUUAGUCACUGACAUAUUAAAAACAUGCAUUUAUUAUUGAAUUAUUUUUCAAUAAA
Molecule: long non-coding RNA, 499 nt
Organism: Oreochromis aureus
Lineage: Eukaryota; Metazoa; Chordata; Actinopteri; Cichliformes; Cichlidae
Exons: 3
Source: RefSeq, a predicted model, not a curated record